Molecule: transfer RNA, 73 nt
Rfam family: tRNA
About the family: Transfer RNA (tRNA) molecules are approximately 80 nucleotides in length. Their secondary structure includes four short double-helical elements and three loops (D, anti-codon, and T loops). Further hydrogen bonds mediate the characteristic L-shaped molecular structure. tRNAs have two regions of fundamental functional importance: the anti-codon, which is responsible for specific mRNA codon recognition, and the 3' end, to which the tRNAs corresponding amino acid is attached (by aminoacyl-tRNA synthetases). tRNAs cope with the degeneracy of the genetic code in two manners: having more than one tRNA (with a specific anti-codon) for a particular amino acid; and 'wobble' base-pairing, i.e. permitting non-standard base-pairing at the 3rd anti-codon position.
Source: Rfam
GCCUCCAUAGCUCAAUGGUUAGAGCGUGCGGCUUUUAACCGCAAGGCUCCGGGUUCGACCCCCGGUGGUGGCU